This 448-nucleotide ribosomal RNA is filed under the name uncultured bacterium. Its description in RNAcentral is "partial 16S ribosomal RNA". It matches the Rfam family "Bacterial small subunit ribosomal RNA", at positions 29 to 523 of the family's 1533-position model. The record is from RNAcentral.
AGCGAACGCUGGCGGCAGGCCUAACACAUGCAAGCCGAACGAAGUCUUCGGACUUAGUGGCGGACGGGUGAGUAACACGUGGGAACGUGCCUUUAGGUUCGGAAUAACUCAGGGAAACUUGUGCUAAUACCGAAUGUGCCCUUCGGGGGAAAGAUUUAUCGCCUUUAGAGCGGCCCGCGUCUGAUUAGCUAGUUGGUGAGGUAAGGCUCACCAAGGUGACGAUCAGUAGCUGGUCUGAGAGGAUGAUCAGCCACAUUGGGACUGAGACACGGCCCAAACUCCUACGGGAGGCAGCAGUGGGGAAUCUUGCGCAAUGGGCGAAAGCCUGACGCAGCCAUGCCGCGUGAAUGAUGAAGGUCUUAGGAUUGUAAAAUUCUUUCACCGGGGACGAUAAUGACGGUACCCGGAGAAGAAGCCCCGGCUAACUUCGUGCCAGCAGCCGCCGUAA